Molecule: ribosomal RNA, 287 nt
Filed under: Taeniophallus brevirostris
Lineage: Eukaryota; Metazoa; Chordata; Lepidosauria; Squamata; Dipsadidae
Description: partial 12S ribosomal RNA
Source: RNAcentral
AAAGACUUGACGGUACCUCACAACAACCUAGAGGAGCCUGCCUAAUAACCGACACCCCACGAUUAACCCAACCCGCUCUAGCCUAACAGUCUAUAUACCACCGUCGCCAGCCUACCUUGUGAAAGAAACAAAGUGGGCACAACAAGCGCCCCCUAAAACGACAGGUCGAGGUGUAACCCAUGAGUGGGUAGUAGGUGGGCUACAUUUUCUAACAUAGAAAAUACGAACAAACCAUGAAACUAGAAACUGAAGGUGGAUUUAGCAGUACGUUAAGAAUAGAACACCUA